CCUUCGAAGAGUCGAGUUGUUUGGGAAUGCAGCUCUAAGUGGGUGGUAAAUUCCAUCUAAAGCUAAAUAUUGGCGAGAGACCGAUAGCGAACAAGUACAGUGAUGGAAAGAUGAAAAGAACUUUGAAAAGAGAGUGAAAAAGUACGUGAAAUUGUUGAAAGGGAAGGGCUUGAGAUCAGACUUGGUAUUUUGUAUGUUACUUCUUCGGGGGUGGCCUCUACAGUUUAUCGGGCCAGCAUCAGUUUGGGCGGUAGGAGAAUUGCGUUGGAAUGUGGCACGGCUUCGGUUGUGUGUUAUAGCCUUCGUCGAUACUGCCAGCCUA
Molecule: ribosomal RNA, 322 nt
Filed under: Candida tropicalis
Lineage: Eukaryota; Fungi; Ascomycota; Pichiomycetes; Serinales; Debaryomycetaceae
Description: LSU rRNA
Rfam family: Eukaryotic large subunit ribosomal RNA
Source: RNAcentral